GAUGAAGAACGUAGUGAAAUGCGAUAAGUAAUGUGAAUUGCAGAAUUCAGUGAAUCAUCGAAUCUUUGAACGCACCUUGCACCCUUUGGCAUUCUGAAGGGUAUGCUCGUUUGAGUGUCAUUGUACUCUCACACUCCCGAUCUUUGCAUUGGGAGCAGUGGACUUGGGUUUGCUGCUUCACCGUCGCUUACCUCAAAUAGGUUCGCGCAACUCUUGGUUGGACAUAGUACGGCGUGAUAAGUGUUCUUCGCCGGUGCCUCGCAAAGAGGGUGGCCGAUCGGGAUGUUGUGCUCCAAACCGUCUUCGGACAAUCUCUGACGACUUGACCUCAAAUCGAGUAAGACUACCCGCUGAACUUAAGCAUAUCAAUAAGCGGAGGA
RNAcentral lists this unclassified non-coding RNA (380 nucleotides) under soil metagenome. Its description in RNAcentral is "partial contains 5.8S ribosomal RNA, internal transcribed spacer 2, and large subunit ribosomal RNA". The stretch from base 1 to 120 matches the Rfam family "5.8S ribosomal RNA", at positions 35 to 154 of the family's 154-position model. The record is from RNAcentral.